CGGGGCAGUUAGCAAAUUAGGCUGCGCGUUCGCUUCUGCUAGAGGGCGGGGCCGGAGGUUUCGAUUAGUUGUCUCUGCCGCUGGGGAAGGUAAAGCGGCGACGGCGUCCUCAGGAGCUGUGGGGUCCCCUGCUAGAAGUGGGGGACUCGGCGGGCAUCUCUGAAAUCCAGAUGCGUCUAAACCCUGGGAAUUGUUUAAUACUUCA
Molecule: long non-coding RNA, 205 nt
Filed under: Macaca mulatta (Rhesus monkey)
Lineage: Eukaryota; Metazoa; Chordata; Mammalia; Primates; Cercopithecidae
Description: lncRNA (ENSMMUG00000052314.1)
Source: RNAcentral